This 238-nucleotide long non-coding RNA is filed under the name Elaeis guineensis (African oil palm). Its description in RNAcentral is "long non-coding RNA (EGUI_LNC027115)". The record is from RNAcentral. Lineage: Eukaryota; Viridiplantae; Streptophyta; Magnoliopsida; Arecales; Arecaceae.
AGGGAUCGAUUGAGGAUUCGACACUAAUAUCUGAUCCACAGAUCUCGAUUCGCUAUCUUGUGAUUGUCUCUCUCUCGAUUCCAGCUCAAGCGGCUUAAGCCAACUCAACUCCCGAUGGCAACAGUAUCUUUUCUCUAUUUUGACCUAUACAUACACGAAAGAAAAAUUUUAUUAAUUUAAUUGGAUAUUAAAAAUGUCAUUGUUAUUUGUCAUUAAUUUUUUUUUAGAUGCAACCCCC